CAUAUAAAUCACGUUUAAAAGAGAGAGUUGCUGUGCCCACUGAGAGAGAGCUGCAGCAUCGCUCCUGCCACCUGCCCUGUCAGCUGAAUGACAUUUCCAGCACUGAUUUACUACGGCUACGCGGAGCUGGGAUGCACAAGUGUUUGCAAGCUGUCUCUCACAAAGGAAAGGGCCGCACCACAAGCACACACCAGGACUAUGGCCUUUCGCACAAAUCGGUCUCCACCUGAUCCAAAGGCCCGGGACCCUGCUGCCCAGGGGCCAAGAAGAGGCUUGGUGACUUACUGGGACCUGCACUGACACCACCCUUCAACCUCUGCCUCUGGGGCAGGCAGAGCAAGGGAAGUUGUGUUUUCUAAAGCUGCACCACCUGCUAAUAUCGAGUUUAAAGUUUAAUUUCAAAUUCAAUUUCAAAUUUUGGCAACCUAUACCAAAAUGUGAUUUAAGCUACUAUAAUCAUUUCGAACAAAUGAAAUAUUCAAGUAAUACAUUAAGUUUUAAAGAAAGCUAAACCACUGAUGGAACUGUUGGAAAUCCCUGACACAGCGUUUACAAAGAACAUUUGUUCGAAGUGUUAAGCAGCAUGCUUUUAUGGGUGCACAGAGUAUUUUUAAUACCCCAACCAGUUUGUAUUCAGCUACCUCCAGUACUUUGAAUGAGCUUCAAACUUUUUAUCUUUGGAUGUAUACCUGCCAAUUCUGAGGACAAACACCAUCAAUUCUGAAAUCAUAAAGAAUAGCAUCAGAUCAUUUCACUACUUAUAAAACAGUACUUUUUCCUAGCUUUAAAUUCAUAAGUUUUCAUGGAUAGUCUCUCUUUAGCCAGUACACUGCAAAAAUAAACAUAGUAAACAUGAACUGCACUAUUCAUCAAUUUCCCACUUCAUAAACAGUCAUGUUUAAAGAAUCUGCAUUAAAAAAAGGCUAAGUUACCUAAGUUAACAAAAGCACAGCAAAAGAGUAAACCUGCCCAAUUAGGAAAAGAAAUACCAGAUUUACUGAAAAAAAAAAAAAAAAAAAAAAAG
Anas platyrhynchos (mallard) is the source of this 1024-nucleotide non-coding RNA. The record is from RefSeq and is a predicted model, not a curated record. NCBI's taxonomy places the organism in Eukaryota, Metazoa, Chordata, Aves, Anseriformes, Anatidae.